This 331-nucleotide ribosomal RNA is filed under the name uncultured bacterium. RNAcentral's name for it is "partial 16S ribosomal RNA". It matches the Rfam family "Bacterial small subunit ribosomal RNA", at positions 338 to 666 of the family's 1533-position model. The record is from RNAcentral.
CCUACGGGUGGCAGCAGUGAGGAAUAUUGGUCCAUGGCCGUAACGCUGACCCAGCCACGUCGCGUGAAGGACGAAGGAUCUCUGGUUUGUAAACUUCUUUUAUAGGGGAAUAAAGGUCUCCACGUGUGGAUAUUUGCCUGUACCCUAUGAAUAAGCAUCUGCUCACUCCGUGCCAGCAGCCGCGGUACUACGGAGGGUGCGAGCGUUAUCCGGAUUUCUUGGGUGUAAAGGGUGCGGAGGUUGUGUUUGAAGUCAGCGGUGAAAGUUUGUGGCUCAACCCUAAAAUUGCCGUUGAAACUGGAAGACUUGAGUGGAGGAGAGGUAGGCGGAA